GCCGGUGUAGCUUAACGUUAGAGCAGCCAGAUUGUAUCUGGCCGAUGGAGUGUUCAAUUCCUCCCGCCGGCUCCA
RNAcentral lists this transfer RNA (75 nucleotides) under Verrucomicrobiia bacterium. RNAcentral's name for it is "tRNA-Thr". It matches the Rfam family "tRNA". From Rfam's summary of the family: Transfer RNA (tRNA) molecules are approximately 80 nucleotides in length. Their secondary structure includes four short double-helical elements and three loops (D, anti-codon, and T loops). Further hydrogen bonds mediate the characteristic L-shaped molecular structure. tRNAs have two regions of fundamental functional importance: the anti-codon, which is responsible for specific mRNA codon recognition, and the 3' end, to which the tRNAs corresponding amino acid is attached (by aminoacyl-tRNA synthetases). tRNAs cope with the degeneracy of the genetic code in two manners: having more than one tRNA (with a specific anti-codon) for a particular amino acid; and 'wobble' base-pairing, i.e. permitting non-standard base-pairing at the 3rd anti-codon position. RNAcentral also lists the same sequence under 1 other name. Lineage: Bacteria; Pseudomonadati; Verrucomicrobiota; Verrucomicrobiia. The record is from RNAcentral.